Molecule: long non-coding RNA, 505 nt
Filed under: Ananas comosus (pineapple)
Lineage: Eukaryota; Viridiplantae; Streptophyta; Magnoliopsida; Poales; Bromeliaceae
Description: long non-coding RNA (ACOM_LNC014700)
Source: RNAcentral
CAUAGAAUUUGCGACUCAAAAAUGAAGUUUGGAUUAAAGGAGAAUAUUGUAAUAAUAAUUCAAACUUAAUUUAAAAUUUAGUUAGAGAUAGAGUAUAUCUAUAUUAUAUAUUGAUGUAAUUAUAGUAGGAUUUGUCUAAAGUAAAAGUUGAAUUUAUCAUAUAUUAUGGUUUCAUAGCUAUAUAUAGUUAGACACAGAUUAAUUAGAGAAAGAAGCCACAAUAAACAUGACUGCAUGGGUGUUGCCUAAGAUGUAAUUAAAUAUUUUUUAUUAAUAAAGUAUUAGUUUAGUUAUCUUCUUUCGUCUCCAAUAUCUUUUCUUCAUAUUAUAUUUUGUUCUAUUUUAGAUUUUAGGUUACAUAAUCGAUAUUAGCAUAAGUACGGAUUCUAACAAUUGGUAUCAGAGAAAAUUACGCUUCUAAUAUAAAAUGACUUAUUGACACGAGAGUUUUAUGUAAUUUAGCCUUCUAUAUAAUUUGAGGGUAAAAGGUAAAAAGAGCUCAAAU